GUCGAGCGAACAGACGAGGAGCUUGCUCCUCUGACGUUAGCGGCGGACGGGUGAGUAACACGUGGAUAACCUACCUAUAAGACUGGAUAACUUCGGGAAACCGGAGCUAAUACCGGAUAAUAUAUUGAACCGCAUGGUUCAAUAGUGAAAGACGGUUUUGCUGUCACUUAUAGAUGGAUCCGCGCCGCAUUAGCUAGUUGGUAAGGUAACGGCUUACCAAGGCAACGAUGCGUAGCCGACCUGAGAGGGUGAUCGGCCACACUGGAACUGAGACACGGUCCAGACUCCUACGGGAGGCAGCAGUAGGGAAUCUUCCGCAAUGGGCGAAAGCCUGACGGAGCAACGCCGCGUGAGUGAUGAAGGUCUUCGGAUCGUAAAACUCUGUUAUUAGGGAAGAACAAAUGUGUAAGUAACUAUGCACGUCUUGACGGUACCUAAUCAGAAAGCCACGGCUAACUACGUGCCAGCAGCCGCGGUAAUACGUAGGUGGCAAGCGUUAUCCGGAAUUAUUGGGCGUAAAGCGCGCGUAGGCGGUUUUUUAAGUCUGAUGUGAAAGCCCACGGCUCAACCGUGGAGGGUCAUUGGAAACUGGAAAACUUGAGUGCAGAAGAGGAAAGUGGAAUUCCAUGUGUAGCGGUGAAAUGCGCAGAGAUAUGGAGGA
RNAcentral lists this ribosomal RNA (661 nucleotides) under uncultured Staphylococcus sp. RNAcentral describes it as "bacterial SSU rRNA". It matches the Rfam family "Bacterial small subunit ribosomal RNA", at positions 61 to 705 of the family's 1533-position model. The record is from RNAcentral. Lineage: Bacteria; Bacillati; Bacillota; Bacilli; Caryophanales; Staphylococcaceae.